UCACUCUCUCCUUAUCCCCUCCCAAAACAACUCUCUCCUGAUCCCCUUUCUCCUUCACGUCUCUCCUUGUCACUCCAGAAUUGUUGACUUCCGAUGAACUCCGGUUACUUCCGCUGGUAAUGGCAUUGCUUGUCUCACUCCCAAGCUCCCCUUACCUCUAUUCAUUUCGUGCCACCACCUUGCUCAUCUUCCCUGCACGCACCCCCGCCGCUUACGUCGUUGGUGCGGCCACGGGUCUGAUCUGGGUGGUGUCGUUGUCGUCGGUGUCCAUGUAGGUGAAUAGGUGAUGAGGGCGUGGAUCUUGUCCCCUGCGGCGGGGCGGAGGUGAGCGAUGCAACACGGACAUCUCCAGUUUGGUGAGGCAGCCAUCGAUGUGAGAGUCAAAGGUGGAGGAGCUGUCGCAGUUGGGUUGGCGGAGGGUGGCUCGUCGCCCCUAACAUUUUUCUUCCAGCGCAGCCCUACAAAUGUUGUUGCCUUCGGACUCCAAAAUCAACCAGAAUCAUGCACAACUGAAGUGUGCCACUAUAGAAGGACCAUGAAGUGGUACCAGCUCCUCUCUGUUUUCUUUCAAUUUUGCAAUGCUUAGAUAAAAUUGCUUGUUCAGUUAUGUGUCCUGUCUUUUUUUAUCUCCCAGUUUCCAGAGGAAAUCUAUUACGCACAAAUUAUUCCAUAUGUUUGUUGCUAUUAGUGAUGAUUGCUGAUGGUAACUUGUUACUUUGUUAGUCAAAAUUUUGAAUUUGUUCAGGCCACAUACAAUUUUUUCGUGGCAUGGGACCGACAUUGACAGUGUUAUACUGUUAUGCCCCUUAUCCCACAUGAAUUUAUACACAUAUUUGUGAGUAGCUGUAGUUUUACUAUUUCUCAAAGAGUAAUUAAAUUUUAAUAAGUAAAUAGUAAAAUAGGUCUGAUUGUGUUGUACAUAUAAAAGAUAACAAUGCGCGGAUUCUUUCACUAUAAGCUUGUACUCUAUAAUAAGCCUCAAACAUGAGAUACCAUGUUCUUUUGAUGUUUGGUGUUAUUUAAUAAUUACUGAGGGUAACUGUAAUCCAAUGUAUAUAUAUUGUAAGAAACCAUAAGCUUAGAUGGGUGUAAAUCUUUUACCAUUUUUUGGAACUAUUUCGUAUUUCCAUCAAAUGGUCAUGCAUUUUGUCAAUAUUUCCGUAGAAAUAGUAGACUACUCCCUCUGUCCGGAAAAGCUUGUCCCAAGCUUAUCCAUCAAAUGGAUGUAUCUAGCACUAACUUGGUGCUAGAUACAUCCAUUUGAGGGACAAGCUUUUUCGGACGGAGGGAGUAUAUUCAUCCUGCCAUAUAGUGUGUAGCAUUCAUGUUACCAUAGAUAAGUAAAUUUGAAGAGAUUUUGCAUCGAACUAAUUAUCCACGUACUUGUGCUUACGUAAAAUGCUGGUGACAUCAUACGACAAGUGUGUGAAAGUGCGUUAUGUCGACUAGAGGGGGGGGGGGUGAAUAGGCGAUUUUUAUGAAUUCUUCACUGAGGAAUUUGCCGGUGAGGAAAUUCCUUAGCGAAGAACUAUUAGCAGCGGAAUAAGUACUCAUAAGUAAGUAUGACAGAAUACAAGCAUGGUCAUCAUGAUGAAAUGAAGACUAGCAUAGAGUACAGGAAGCGUAAUCACAGGAUAAGACAAGAUGAAGACAAACAGACUGAAGAAAUUGAACUGAGGAAAUUGAGAAAGUCUUCAGUCAAAGUCUUCAAACACAGAUAUGAACAAACACUCAACAUAGUAAUGAGGAAUUGAAAAGGGUUGACGAAAUAGAACCAGUAGGUUGGUGAAGACAAUGAUUUGGUAAACCAGUUCCAACUGCUGUCUCAGUUGUACGUCUGGUUGGAGCGGCUGAGUAUUUAAACUCAAGGACACGCAGUCUCGGACACCCAGUCUCUGAGCACGCAGCUCAGGACAUCCAGUCCUCACCGUAUUCUCCUUGAACUAAGAUCACACAGAUCCCGUCCAAUCACUCGUGGUAAGUCUUCAGGCGACUUCCAAACCUUCACAGACUUGGUCACUCGACGAUCCACAAUUCCUCUUGGAUGCUCUAGACCUUGACGCCUAACCGUCUGGAAGAAGCACAGUCUUCAAAGGUAACAAGCGUCGGAUCCACGCAGGAUCAAUUUCUUCAGUGAUGCUCAAUCACUUUGGGGUUUGUAGGUGUUUGGGUUUGGGAUUUUUCUCACUUGAUGAUUUUCGCUCAAAGUUCUUGGAGGAUGGGUUGUUCUCAAAUGACAAGUGUCAAGUUCUCUCGGAGCAGCCAACCAGCUAGUGGUUGUAGGGGGCGGCUAUUUAUAGCCUAGGGAGCAGCCCGACAUGAUAAGACAUAAAUGCCCCUCAAUGAUAUGACCGUUAGGUGGAUAAGAUAUUUUGGGACAGCUGGCGCGCAACACAGCAACAGUCGGAAAUUUGACUCUCAAAUUCCUCAGGGCUAUCAUGUUCCUCACUGUGUAGGUAAUUCACACUGUGAAUUCCUAACUCCUCAGUCAGAACAAAUUCAUCAGCGACCAGAAGAACUUCGUCUUUGUCACUGAAGAAAGUGACUGAACUGUAUGAGAUUUCCAAAGGCUUCACUCGAAGGGAUUGGUAGGUGUAGGAUUUUGAGUUGAGCAUCACAUGGAAAAUUUUCCUUAGUAUUUCCUCGACCCCCUUUAACAGUACGGUGUUUCCUAUGACUCAAGAAGGAGAAAAUGAAACUACGAAAACAAAAGUCUUCACGCUUCGUGUUCCACAAAUGAAUACCAAGUCUUCAAGGUCACACCAAUUUCGUCACUUUCAAAAUCUUCAGAAAGUCUUCAGAAUAUCAAAGUCUUCAGUUGAAGAACUUCAUUUUUAGGGGUCGACUUCCUCUGUAAAUAUCAAACUCCUCAUAGACUUAUAGACCUGUGUACACUCACAAACGCAUUAGUCCCUUAACCUAUAAGUCUUCAAUACACCAAAAUCACUAAGGGGCACUAGAUGCACUUACAAUCUCCCCCAUUUUGGUGAUUGAUGACAACAUAGGUUAAGUUUUCAACGGGGAUAAAUAUAUGAAGUGUAUACACUGAUAUUGAGGAAUUUGAUUACAAGAUAUAGAAGAACUCCCCCCUGAAGAUGUGCAUAGCGAGGAAUUUGCUUUUGAAGCAUUGCACAUUUGAAGAGUUGAAUCAUGGAGAUCUCCCCCUAUAUCUUGUAAUUUAUACACGCAUUUGAUAUAUAAUAUGAAGAAUUGAAAAUGCAUGAUGAAAUAUGGUGCCUGAUGAGAUUCAGCAUGCGUGCAAUGUCAUUAACGAGGAAAUAAGCAUGCAGAGCAUAAUGCAGCAAAAGUAUCAGCGCACCAUCGGGUUUAAGAUUACAACUCAAUCGAAAUAAAAGUUUCAAAAGAACGAGAGUUGUAACUUAAAAAAUGCCCUUAAUAUAGACCCGCUUGAAGACUAACUCAGAUUUCUCCCCCUUUGUCAUCAAAUGACCAAAAGGAUUGAAACUGAGGACUAACGCCCGUGAAGAAUUUCAAGUCGAUGGAGGAGCGCCAGCGUUGUCGGGGUUGUUUGUUGUAGCAGGGCCUGCCGCAGUGUCGUCCAAAUCUUCAUACUCAUCAGUGUCACGCGAUGAAGAAUAAGAGCUGGCCACCAAGGAAGGAACUGUGACCUUCUUGAAUUUCUUCGGUGGAGGUGCAGACCAGUCAAAUUCUUCCUUGAGACCCAUAUUCUUCAGAUCAGCAGCGCUGUAGACGUGAGAGAGAACAGCCCAGGUACGGUUGAAGGUUUCAUGGAGGUAGUAUUGGUUUUUCUUCACUGCAUUGUGUGUUGAGGUCAUGUUGUGAAGAGUUGAACCAAACUGACGCUUGACCCAUUUAUGAUUGCGAUCAACCUUCUGAUGAAGACUGAGGAGUAACUCACGGUCAGUCAUCACCCUGGGUGUUGUGGCUUGAGGAUUUUGCUUGGCUGAGGUAUUUGCGGCAGAGUCAUGUGUGGCAGAAUCGUCAUUGGUAGAGUAAGAUGCAGCCUUGCAAAAUUGACCAUCCAAUGGGCGAAUGCCUUCAUCGAUCACAGCAGCGGCCUUGCCUUUAUCAUUAGCUGAUGAAACUGUCCGUUUGAGGACUUCAAUGGGAGGCAAGUAGCUACCGUGGUUCAGAGUGUCAGCUUCGUAAUUCAGUGAAGAUCUUGCCCUGAUGAAUCUCAUUAUCCAAGGAGCAUAGGGCUUCAGCUCGAAUGGUGACAUAGCAAUAUUGGCUAGAGUCCUCAUGAAGAAAUCAUGGAAGUUUAUGGGAACGCCAUGAAUGAUGUUGAAAAGCAUAUUAUUCAUGAUGCCAACGACUUCUUCAUCAUUUGAGUCGUGGCCUUUGAUGGGACUCAUUGUCUUCGUUAGAAUUCGAUACACAGUCCGAGGCACAUAGAGUAAUUCCUUGACAAGGGAUUUGGUUCGUGGUGCCUGCCUUGGCUUCAAUGGCUUCAUCAGCACUUGCAUAUAGUGAUUUGAAAGUUCUGGUUCGUUGUAGAUACAAUGAGCAUCAUCAAGUGGAGGACUGAGUGGUAGAGCACGAAGCAAUUCAGUUGCAGGUGCCUUGUAGUGAGUAUUUUCAGACAUCCAGUCUAAUACCCAGGAGUUCACGUCUUCAGCGUCUCCGGUGAUGUGCAGAGUUGCAUAGAAUUGAAGAAUGAGUUCUUCAUUCCAGUCAUAGAUAUCAAUGCAGAAAUUCAGAAGUCCUGCGUCGUGAAGAACACUGAGGACUGGCUCAAAGCCGGGCAGAGACUCCAUGUCCACAUGAGGAAUAUGUGCAUAAUCGAAGACUUUGUUUUUGUUGAAGAGCACUGAGGAAUAGAAAUUGGCUUGGCUGGCAGUCCAGAAACGCCUCUUCCUUAUGCGAGCAGAAUCAUAUGGAUUAUAAUCAGUGAAGAAUACAUGCUCGGCAAAGAAAUCUUCAGCCUUGAACUUCUGUUUGCUUGAGAACGGAUUCUUUUGCUUUGGCAGAGGGAUGUCAGUGAGUUGCAUCACCACCUCAGGAAUCGCGAGCUCAGGUUCUUCAGGCUGAGGAAUUUCUUGUUCCUCAAUAGGUGCAGUCUGAGGAUCUGCAGCAGCAGGUUCAUCAGCACUAGUGGCUGGAAUUUAUUCAUGCAUAGAGAGAGUGGGUUGAGUUUCUUCAGAGCCCAUUUGAACUGUUGGUGCAGGGGACUGAGGAAUCUGUUGGAGCGGGGUGAAGAGAGGAGUAUUGGGAUGCUGACUUUCUCAAAAGUCAUCAUUCAUCACAGGUGUGGUGCACCCUAUAUCCACAUCUUUAUCUUCAAUUUCCUCAACACCAGCCUCUUCAGCUGUGAACUGAGGCAUAGGUGAGGAAAUGACUGGCGUUGAAGGGAUUGCGUCCACUUGAAUUUCUUCAUCAACCUGCUUUGACGAAGCAGCAAAAUGAUGUUCUUCAUCAGAUCCGAUAGGGAUCUCAUAGUCUUCUCCAAAAGGAACAAGGUCCUUUGAUGGCAUGGAGGAAAUUGCAACAGCAUCAAUUGGAUUUUCGAGUGAGCUGGUCAUUGGCUUCAUUUUCUUCACAGCCGAAGAGUUUGACACAGCUGAUGCCUUCCUUUUCUUCACUGCAGCUCGCUCUGCAGCCUUUGUCUUCUUCACAUCAAAUGCACAUGGAAGAAUUGUAGUUGGUGUAGGUGCAGAUGGAGCUGAGGAAUCUGGUUGAUUUUCUUCAGGCGCAACUAAUGCAGUUGCCCUGACUUCUUCAGUUUCUUCAGGCGCACCACUAGUGGAUGCCCUGGCAAUUUCUUCAGCGGCUAGAAUAGGAUCAUCAGCCCUGGAACUGGCAUUUUCAUCAGCAGCCUGAAUUUCAUCAGCGGUGCUGGCAUGUUCUUCAGUCGGCUGAGCUGAGACUUCAGCCUGAGGAAUUUCAUGUUGCGUUGGAGCAACAACAUUGGUGAAUUUCUUCGUCAGGUUGAUGAAUCUGACUUUGGCUCCUUGCCAAUCAGCAUAGUAGGCAUCAAAAUCCUUGUUGAGGGCUUGGAUUUCAGACUGAGCCUGGAGAAGUUCCUCAGGUGUCAUUCUGACAACGUUUUUCUUCAGGAGCUUCUCCUUUCUGUAUUGAGCUUUCUUAAUCUCUCUUGUCUUUUCAAACUUCCAUUUCUCUUUAGUGAUGAAAUGGGUCAGCAUGUGACUUUGACCGGCAGUCAGAUGAAAAUCAGGCAUGGGGGUGUUUGGAUCCUUGUGCCAGAGAUCAAUAUAAUCGAGGAUUUUCCUUGGAUCCAACAGCAGUGGCACAGAUGUGCCUUUGGCUCUAGCGGCCUUUACCUGUCUGUCUCUAAUGAUUUCUGUGAGUUCAUCAUCAGAAGCUUCAUCAUCAGAAGGCACAUGGAAUGCGACCUGUUUCUUCUUUGGACUUGGCCGAGGACCUCGUCUAGCUGUUGCUUUGGUCUUCAGCAGAGUCGGGCCAGAUGAUGACUUUGGUGCAGCAGAGGAACUUGCUGAAACACCAGAGGCAAUUGAGAAACCAGCAGUCCUUUGACAUGUAGUCAGAUGCACAGGAGCUGAGGACUUUGAAGGAGCAGUAGUAGUGUGAGGAAUUUGCCGUGAGGGCGCUGCUGAGGAACUUGGCCGUGAGGGCGCUGUUGAGGAACUUGGCCGUGAGGGCGCUGUUAGUGACGCACUUGGCUUACGAGCAGGCUUCUUUGGCAUGGAUUUCCUCGGUUUGACUGAGGCCUCAGUAGCAAUAGCAGUGGCAGAAUCCUCAUUGAAUUUCUUCACUGCCUCCUUGGCCUGUCUUGCCAAUUUGGCUUGGCGCUUAGCCCAUUCUUCAGGAAAGUCCUCACCACGUUUGAUGCUAGUGGGGUCAGCUACUUGGCCAGGUGCCAAUGGAGCUCUUGGGCAUGGAGAAUUGAGGGCAAAUUUCUUCAUGUACUUUGGAGUCACAUAUCUGUAUUCCCUCCAUUCCCUUGCCCAUCUCCGUUCAAUCUUCUGAAUGCGCACCUUGCGCUGAUUUUUGUUUUCUUUGCCAUAUUUUGCUUCAUCAGGUGUGCAAUAGUUAGCAUAAAUUUCCUCAGGGAUUUCAAACACAGUCAUAACCUCAGGUUUCUUUCCUCCUUUCUGCGGCUUCUUACCGUCUGCCAUAUUCUUCAGUUGAGGAAUUUGAACAAUUGAGUUCUCUGAAGAAGUAUGCAGUUUUUCUUCGAGGAACGCUGCAAAUGAGUUAAGUUGAUGAGAACCUAGUGAUUCAGCAGCAGACAUGAGUACCUGUGAACAGAGUACAGGUGCGAGGAAUUUGGAGAGGUCAUAUGCGUUCUGAGAAGGUUUUUGAAAAGAACAAGUUUUGAGGAAUUUGACCAGAUGAACCUUGAGGAAUUUUACUAAGCGUUCUUGUCUUAGGUUCCAGAGUUGUACAGAUCGAAGAUCCACAUAAUUAGGGAAUCUUGAAGAAAAUGGUUGCUUAGAGAAACAGUUCAAGAUCAUAUGAAGUGUGUGGUGUUCGUAUGUGUGAAGAUUUGAAGAAUAAACACCUUUGAAGAUUUUCAGGAAAGCUUGAGAAUCAAAGCGAGUAAUAAAAGUAACUUUUAAUUACCCGAAAUGAAGAACACGACGAACUAAGAAGAACAAACGGGAAGUUCGUCAGGUUAGAUCUUCCUUGCCCUAACUCGGCGAAGGAAGACAGCUACGGCGACGGCGGAGUGAAGAUUUCCGCGGUCGGCGUGAGUACGACGGCGACGAGGUCGAGGCAGUGAAGCUCUUCCUCACCGGCGGCGAUGGAGUAGCGGUGACGCUAGGGUUUGAGGAGCUCGAGCGGGAGAGAGAUGGUCGAGCAGAGUAAAUGAAGUGAGGAAGGGGAGAGGGGUAUUUAUAGACACGGUGAAAAACUGUUCGCCCGAAGAUUUAGGACGAACGUGCCCCUGCCCUUUCUCCUUCACGCGACAUGUGUCACCCACGUACUGUGUAGUGAAGAUCAUGUACGAUCGUGGGUGAAUAGAAUAAUACAUCGUAGGAUGCGGAACAGUUUGAGCGGCAAAACCGAAAAUUUGGAUAAGUUUUGUUUUAAAGUUUCGCUCGCAAUUUCUUCAGCUGCCAAGGACACGGUGAAGACUUUGAAUGAGUUUCAAAUAGAACGCACAUGAAGAAUUUGUGAAUAGAUUGGGUUGAGUAUAGCAUAGAGGGGAAGGGUCCGAUCACAUUCACUUAGUAGAAAAAGCAACUUGAAGAAAUAGCUAUAAGUGAAUGCUGUAGAGGACAUAAACUCAUAUAUAUAUAUAUAGCCAAUGAAGAAAAACGAAGGAAACAGUGAAGGUUUUGCAAAGUUGAAGAAUUUAAAAAAAAACUGAAGAAUUUCAAAACUGAGGAAAAACUCAAAUUAAAGAUUUUCAACUUUUUGUGGUGGCGUGACCCACCGUAUAAGAAUGAUGAUUUCAGACACCGCGUACAAUUGUCCUAGGGUUCUGAGAAUCAAAUUCUUCAUUAAUUUCUUCACACUUAGAGUGUUAUUCUUCAUUGAUUGAAGAAAAACGUUUCUUCAUGUGUUGCACAUCUAAGUUAUCAAUUUUGCAUAAGUGUUAGGAUGUGUGUCCUUUUCAAAGAACAUUCGAAGAUUCUAAGAUAUUUAGCUCACACCGCAACUUGCUAAAUCUCUUCUCAUCCAAGGGCUUAGUGAAGAUAUCAGCUAGCUGUUCUUCAGUCUUCACGUGCUCGAUGGAGAUGUCGCCCUUCAACACAUGAUCACGAAGAAAAUGAUGACGAAUUUGAAUGUGCUUUGUCUUCGAGUGCUGAACUGGGUUGUGAGCAAUCUUGAUGGCACUCUCAUUGUCGCAGAGGAGAGGCACAUUCUUCACGUUAACGCCAUAGUCCUUGAGCGUUUGCUUCAUCCAAAGCAGUUGAGCACAGCAAGAGCCAGCAGCAAUGUAUUCAGCUUCCGCAGUAGACAGUGAUACGCAGUUCUGUUUCUUCGAGGACCAACAGACCAAAGAUCAUCCGAGGAAAUGACAAGUGCCAGAAGUUGACUUGCGGUCCACACGAUCACCAGCAUAGUCAGAGUCAGAAUAUCCAAUGAGAUCAAAAACAGAGCCCUUGGGGUACCAUAAUCCUAGUGUUGGUGUGUGAGCUAGAUAUCGAAGAAUAUGCUUCACAGCCUUAUGGUGUGAUUCCUUCGGUGCAGCUUGAAAUCGGGCACACAUGCAAACACUAAGCAUUAUAUCUGGCCUAGAUGCACAUAAGUACAAUAAAGAACCAAUCAUGGAGUGGUAUACCUUGUGAUCGAAGUCAAUACCAUUUUCAUCAGUGCAUAGAUGGCCUUUUGUGGGCAUAGGAAUUUUGACACCUUUGCAAUCUUGCAUGUCGAAUUUCCUUAGUACAUCUUUGAGGUAUUUCUCCUGAGAUAUGAAUAUGCCAUUGUGCUGUUGACGAAUUUGAAUACCUAAGAAAAAUUUCAACUCUCCCAUCAUAGACAUUUGAUAUUCUUCACUCAUCAUAUAGGCAAAUUCAUCACUGUAACGUUGGUCAGUACAGCCAAAGAUAAUAUCAUCAACAUAUAUUUGGCACACAAACAGUUCACCAUCAUAAGAUUUAGUAAAGAGAGUAGGGUCGAGUGAACCGGGUGUGAAGCCAUUCUUCACGAAGAAUUCCUUCAAUGUAUCAUACCACGCCCGAGGGGCUUGCUUGAGGCCAUAGAGGGCCUUAUUAAGUUUGAAGACUUUGUCAGGAUUCUUUGGAUCUUCAAAACCUGGGGGUUGAGCAACAUAUACUUCUUCCUCAAGCUUACCAUUGAGGAAUGCACUUUUCACAUCCAUUUGAUAUAAGAUGAUAUCAUGAUGAUUAGCAUAAGCAAGUAAUAUGCGAAUAGCCUCAAGUCUAGCAACAGGUGCAAAAGUUUCAUCGAAAUCAAUUCCUUCAACCUGUGUGUAGCCUUGAGCUACCAGUCGUGCCUUAUUCCUUACCACAAGGCCAUUUUCAUCUUGCUUGUUGCGGUAGAUCCACUUUGUGCCAAUGAUAUUAUGCUUGUGAGGAUCUGGACGUUUGACCAGUUCCCAGACAUUGUUGAGCUCGAACUGAUGUAAUUCUUCUUGCAUAGCCUGAAUCCACUCCGGCUUCAAAAAUGCUUCAUCUACCUUAGUGGGCUCUGUGAUAGAGACAAAAGCAUAGUGCCCACAAAAGUUAGAUAAAUGUGAAGCUUUUGAGCGUGUGAGAGGACCUGGCGCUUCAAUGUCAUCGAUGAUCUUGUCAACUUGUACUUCUUUUGCAACGCGAGGAUGAGCUGGUUGACGUCGAGGUAUUUGAUCAUUUUCCUCAGCACCAUUAUCUUCAGAUGCGUCAGCUCGAUGUUCUUCGCGUACUGGAAUGAAUUCUUCAGCAAAUUCUUAAGUAGGAAUGACAUCUUCAGUUGCCUUGAACUUGAUAGAAUCCUCAGGUGCUGGUUCAUCUAACACAGAAGGUAGGUCCUCUCUUUGCGAGCCAUUAGUUUCAUCGAACCGCACAUCUACAGUUUCAACAAUCUUGUGAAGAACAAUGUUGAAGACUCUGUAGGUGUGCGAGUCCUUUCCGUAACCAAGCAUAAAACCUUCAUGUGCUUUCGGUGCGAAUUUUGAAUUGUGGUGAGGAUCUCUAAUCCAACAUCUAGCACCGAAGACUUUGAAAUAACUCACAUUGGGUUUCUUGUCAGUGAGGAGUUCAUAGGAUGUCUUCUUGAAGAAUUUGUGAAGAUAUACUCUGUUGAUGAUGUGGCACGCAGUAUCAAUUGCAUCAAUCCAAAAACGAUCAGGCGUUUUGUAUUCAUCAAGCAUAGUGCGAGCCAUCUCAACAAGAGUUCUGUUCUUGCGCUCCACGAUGCCAUUUUGCUGAGGAGUAUAAGGAGCAGAUAAUUCAUGAGUAAUACCAAGUUCAUCAAGAUAGUCAUCAAGACCGGAAUUCUUGAACUCAGUUCCAUUAUCACUUCUGAUGUGCUUGAUCUUCACACCAAAGUUGGUUGAAGCCCUCGAAGAAAAUCGUUUGAAGACUUCCUGCACUUCAUGUUUGUAAGUAACAAUGUGUACCCAUGUAUAUCGAGAGUAAUCAUCAACAACGACAAAACCAUAUAGAGAAGCAACAUUAGUGACUGCUGAGUAAUGAUUAGGUCCGAAGAGGUCCAUGUGAAGCAAUUCGAAUGAACGAGUAGUGGUCAUGAUAGUCUUCGCUGGAUGCUUGGCCUCGAUCAUUUUUCCAGCUUCACAUGCUCCGCAUAAGUGAUCCUUGAGGAAUUUGACAUUCUCAAUGCCAAUGACAUGUUUCUUCUUCGCAAGCGUGUGCAAAUUCCUCAUGCCUGCGUGACCAAGUCGUCGAUGCCAUAGCCAGCCUUCUGAAGCUUUUGCAUGUAGGCACACGGCUGGUUGUGGUCCUGUAGAGAAAUCAACAAUAUACAAAUCUCCUCUCCUAAAGCCUUCGAAGACUUUGGAAUUGUCAGCUUCCAUAAUCACAACACAUCGAUACUUGCCAAAGACAACAACCAUAUCAAGAUCACAAAGCAUUGAGACUGACAUGAGGUUGUAUCCUAAGGACUCAACAAGCAUGACUUUGUCCAUGUGUUUAUCCUUAGAGAUCGCAACCUUACCAAGACCCAAUACCUGACUUUUGCCUUUGUCAGCAAAGAUGAUAUGCUUCAGAUGUGAUGGUGAUAAAGGAGAAUCCAUCAAAAGAUUCUUGUCACCAGUCAUGUGAUUCGUACAUCCACUAUCGAGGACCCAUUCAGUGGUUUUGGGUUAGUCAUCCUGCAAAUGAAUUAGUGUAACUUACAAUCUCAUAUGCUUCAUCAGUGAAGAAUAUGAUAUUAAGUUCAUCAGAUGAAUUUCAUCAAGCGGUAAACAGAUAUAGCAGUAUGAGGACGUGUGAAAUGAAAGUUCAUUUCAUCAUGGUUAGCCUGCGUCCUUUCAGGCAAUUUUGUCAGGUCCCCAGCAAAUUCUUCAGACGUUAAGGCACGUCUGGAGACCUGACCCUGCAGAAGAGAUUAGUUCUUUUUCUUCACCACCCACAUCUGAAGGGGUGGCAAAGAGUUCAUCACUCUGCGAGCACCAUACGAGAACGGUGGCAUAGAAGCCAAACCAUUUCAUUUCACAUAAGAGGGGUUAGGGUAAGCAUAUGAAUAAGCAGAGAAAUUCUUCGAGGACUUAUGAACAUAAUGAUUUGAAGAAUAAUAUGCAUAUUCGUAGCCCUUAGCUCUACCCUGCGAAACAGACUUGUUAGCACGAUGAUAAUCAUAUGAGGACUUUGAUCCAUUUGAGGAAUUUGAUCCACGUGAGGAAUUUGGUCCAUAUGAGGACUUGGAUCCAUAUGAAGAAUUAGGUCCAUAUGAAGAGUUUGUUCUGGGGUUCCUCUUCUUCACAGGUGGUGUCAUGAGGACAUUCACCUGAAGACUUUCAACAUAACUUUUGGGAACCCAGAUUUUCUUCAUAGGGGAACCAUUCCUGCAGUUAGUCCCAACAUAUCUAGCAAAUACUUCACCAUUCUGAUUUUUGAACAGUUUAUAGUUGGAGUCAAAUGACUCAUCAGAAGAAUGAGGAGAUUCACAUGUAAAGCCAGAUAACAUGGAUGGAUCAACUGGAGGUCCCUUUGCAGCAACCCAUGAGGUUUUGGGGUACUGCUCGGGCUUCCAAUAUGUUCCAUCAGCAUUAAGUUUCCUCUCAAAGGCAAUACCCUCUUUCCUAGGGUUUCUGUUGAGGAUCUGCUUUUUGAGCACAUCACAGAGAAUCUGGUGCCCUUUGAGGCUUUUGUACAUGCCUGUCGUGUACAGUUCCUUCAGCCCUGCAUCAUCAGUGAUACUAGCAAUGUCCUCAGAUGAGGAAUUAGUGAUAGCAGAGGCAGGUGAAGAAUUUGUAACAGUUGAAGCAUUUGAACAUUCAGGUGAAGAAUUGGAAGAUUCACGUUCAAUGCACUUUAAGCAUGGAGGAAUAAAUUCUUCCUGAGAAGUGCUGAUUUGUUGAGCAAGUAAUGAAUCGCGCUCCUUCUGAAGAUCUUCAUAACUCACUCUUAGCUUCUCAAGAUCUUGCUUUCUUUGAAGAAAUUCAUAAGAAAGUUUCUCAUGAUCAGAUAAGAGAGUGUUAUGAUGACUUUUAAGAUUAUCAAACCUAGACUGAAGUCUCUGAAGAUUUUCAGUCAGGGCUUUAGUGCGAUUCAUUUCUUCACCCAACAUAUCAUCACUUUUGUCUAGCAUGUUUUGAACCUUUUCCAAGACAUGUUGUUGUUUGGUGGAAAUGCAAACAAGUUUGGUAUAGCUAGGUUCAAUAUCAUCAUCAGAUUCAUCAUCAUCAGAUUCACAGUCACUAAAUUCAGAUGAGGAACAUUCGGUUACCUCGACACCAUUUGCCAUGAGACAUGAUGCAGAAGAUGAUGAUUCUGGUUCGAAAGUCAUCGUUUUGAGAGAUUCCUUGAAGUCCUCAAACCAAGGAUCAUGACGGGUUCGAUGACCUUCAUAGACGUCGGAGAUUCGGUCCCAGAUAAGCUUGCAUUGCAAAGAUGCAUAAUGAGCCUGAAUUGGUCUCUGGAUAGACAGGAACAGAUGAUAUCCUUCGCCAUGCAGUCAAGUCGAGUGUAUUUGCGAAUAUCAUCUGUGUUCGCCGACUUCCAUAGAUCAGUAAGGCCAAUCUCAGUGACGGUCCACAGCUCGCUGUCCCUUGCCAUGAGGCGCUUCCUCAUCAUGGCCUUCCACUUGGGAUAAUCAUGACCGUCAAAGAUAGGGCAUGUCACUUUCUUCAUACCUGCGGUCGACAUAACUAAAACUCCAGGCGGUUAAACCAAAAUCACACAGAACAAGGGAGUACCUUGCUCUGAUACCAAUUGAAAGUGCGUUAUGUCGACUAGAGGGGGGUGAAUAGGUGAUUUUUAUGAAUUCUUCACUGAGGAAUUUGGCGGUGAGGAAAUUCCUUAGCGAAGAACUAUUAGCAGCGGAAUAAGUACUCAGAAGUAAGUAUGACAGAAUACAAGCAUGGUCAUCAUGAUGAAAUGAAUAUUAGCAUGGAGUACAGGAAGCGUAAUCACAGGAUAAGACAAGAUGAAGACAAACAGACUGAAGAAAUUGAACUGAGGAAAUUGAGAAAGUCUUCAGUCAAAGUCUUCAAACACAGAUAUGAACAAACACUCAACACAGUAAUGAGGAAUUGAAAAGGGUUGAGGAAAUAGAACCAGUAGGUUGGUGAAGACAAUGAUUUGGUAAAUCAGCUCCAACUGUUGUCUCAGUUGUAUGUCUGGUUGGAGCGGCUGAGUAUUUAAACUCGAGGACACGCAGUCCCAGACACCCAGUCUCUGAGCACGCAGCUCAGGACACCCAGUCCUCACCGUAUUCUCCUUGAACUAAGAUCACAUAGAUCCCGUCCAAUCACUCGUGGUAAGUCUUCAGGCGACUUCCAAACCUUCACAGACUUGGUCACUCGGCGAUCCACAAUUCCUCUUGGAUGCUCUAGACCUUGACGCCUAACCGUCUGGAAGAAGCAUAGUCUUCAAAGGUAACAAGCGUCGGAUCCACGCAGGAUCAAUUUCUUCAGUGAUGCUCAAUCACUUUGGGGUUUGUAGGUGUUUGGGUUUGGGAUUUUCCUCACUUGAUGAUUUUCGCUCAAAGUCCUUCGAGGAUGGGUUGCUCUCAAAUGACAAGUGUCACGUUCUCUCGGAGCAGCCAACCAGCUAGUGGUUGUAGGGGGCAGCUAUUUAUAGCCUAGGGAGCAGCCCGACAUGAUAAGACAUAAAUUCCCCUUAAUGAUAUGACCGUUAGGUGGAUAAGAUAUUUUGGGACAGCUGGCGCGCAGCACAGCAACGGUCGGAAAUUUGACUCUCAAAUUCCUUAGGGCUAUCAUGUUCCUCACUGUGUAGGUAAUUCACACUGCGAAUUCCUAACUCCUCAGUCAGAACAAAUUCAUCAGCGACCAGAAGAACUUCGUCUCUGUCACUGAAGAAAGUGACUGAACUGUAUGAGAUUUCCAAAGGCUUCACUCGAAGGGAUUGGUAGGUGUAGGAUUUUGAGUUGAGCAUCACAUGGAAAUUUUUCCUUAGUAUUUCCUCAACCCCCUUUAACAGUACGGUGUUUCCUAUGACUCAAGAAGGAGAAAAUGAAACUACGAAAACAAAAGUCUUCACGCUUCAUGUUCCACAAAUGAAUACCAAGUCUUCAAGGUCACACCAAUUUCGUCACUUUCAAAAUCUUCAGAAAGUCUUCAGAAUAUCAAAGUCUUCAGUUGAAGAACUUCAUUUUUAGGGGUCGACUUUCUCUGUAAAUAUCAAACUCCUCAUAGACUUAUAGACCUGUGUACACUCACAAACGCAUUAGUCCCUUAACCUAUAAGUCUUCAAUACACCAAAAUCACUAAGGGGCACUAGAUGCACUUACAGUGUGUAUUUUAGACUUUUAGUUCAUAAUUUUAGAAAAAUUCUUUGUAGAUUAUGUUCUUGACCCCAACAUCCUUAUUGUUAUCUUUAUCAUUUACCAUUACUUGCAGUCCAUCCCCUUUUCCGACUCUUGAGAAUGGUACGUAUAGAUGUCCAUGUGUAAAGACUUGUUCAUGUAGAUAUAGUCCAACCUUGUUUGGAGAGUGCUCCUGCCUUUUGUUUAUUGUCAUUGCAAAGCAUGAUGAGAUAGGGUAUUGUCUCCUUUUUAGAAGGAACAACCACACCCAUUCAACUGGUGACAUGAUUAUGUUUGGAAUAUAGACCUUUUCCUCCACAUGUGAUCCUGUUAUUUAUUAUCUGUGCUUUGAUGAAUAUGUUUAUACUGAACAAUGGCAUACCAUCUAUUUUUUUCUAGUGUACCAUUCACAAUCAAGGCUGCAACUUCAGUUGCAGAUGGCAUACCAUGUCGUUUUCCAUCUGUGCCACACUUAUUUGUUAGUUUUAAUCUGGCAUUGUGAUAGUCACAUUCUUUGAAUGUGUGACUUGCCAUUCUGAAUGUUUUUGCUAGUAUAUUAUCUCUAUCCAGCACAUUCUUAAGGGCCUCAAUGAUGUGGGUAUCUAUUGACUAAAGGAGCAAUAUAGCUGGAAAAAUAAUUAUAUGUAUAGUUAGGAGUUCUGUUCGAAUCAAACCUUCAACACAAAACUAUUAACUUGAGGGAAAUGUAAGUACGGCAAGGGAGUUCAUUAGUCUGGCUUACAAUGAAUCAUGCAAAUUAAUUGCUUUUUUGCAUAAGAUGGUAAUACCUACUGGAGGUGGGGCGAUCACUAAAAGGAGUCGAUUGGACAAUCAAGCUGAGAGAUGGAGAUUUUGAGCCAACCUUGAAGAAGACAAAAAAGUUUUU
This 16189-nucleotide long non-coding RNA is filed under the name Triticum aestivum (bread wheat). Its description in RNAcentral is "long non-coding RNA (TAES_LNC003205)". The stretch from base 1172 to 1297 matches the Rfam family "MIR1120/MIR1122 microRNA precursor family". Lineage: Eukaryota; Viridiplantae; Streptophyta; Magnoliopsida; Poales; Poaceae. The record is from RNAcentral.